RNAcentral lists this ribosomal RNA (430 nucleotides) under uncultured bacterium. RNAcentral's name for it is "bacterial SSU rRNA". It matches the Rfam family "Bacterial small subunit ribosomal RNA", at positions 354 to 796 of the family's 1533-position model. The record is from RNAcentral.
GUGGGGAAUAUUGCACAAUGGGUGCAAGCCUGAUGCAGCAACGCCGCGUGAGGGACGACGGCCUUCGGGUUGUAAACCUCUUUUAGCAGGGAAGAAGCGAAAGUGACGGUACCUGCAGAAAAAGCACCGGCUAACUACGUGCCAGCAGCCGCGGUAAUACGUAGGGUGCAAGCGUUGUCCGGAAUUAUUGGGCGUAAAGAGCUCGUAGGCGGUUUGUCGCGUCUGCUGUGAAAACCCGAGGCUCAACCUCGGGCCUGCAGUGGGUACGGGCAGACUAGAGUGCGGUAGGGGAGAUUGGAAUUCCUGGUGUAGCGGUGGAAUGCGCAGAUAUCAGGAGGAACACCGAUGGCGAAGGCAGAUCUCUGGGCCGUAACUGACGCUGAGGAGCGAAAGCGUGGGGAGCGAACAGGAUUAGAAACCCUGGUAGUCC